Molecule: long non-coding RNA, 3137 nt
Organism: Bubalus bubalis (water buffalo)
Lineage: Eukaryota; Metazoa; Chordata; Mammalia; Artiodactyla; Bovidae
Exons: 3
Source: RefSeq, a predicted model, not a curated record
CCUCCACCUGUCGCAGGUGCUCCUCGUGUAGCACGCGCUCCUGUAAGAGGGGGCCGGGGGUCGGCUGGACCAGCAGGGGCCGCAGACAUCCCCCAACCAGCUCUAUCGAGAUGUGACCACACAGAACUGGGCCUCAAACCCUCUGUGCUUGAGGCCUCGGAGGGCUCUGUGCUGUCUCCUGAGAUCAUGGUUAUUGGUGACGGCCAACUCUGGUGUCUGUGAGUUCACACGUCUCCACUCAAGCCUCGGUACAUACCUAUCACUCAGCAGAUGCUCGCUCGAUAAAUGGUAAUAAAGCGUGGUUGUUACUGAUGUUAAAAACUGCUGAAAUCUCCACUUGGUUGGUGAAGGGGAUUUAGAAGCUGGCCUCAAAAAAACCAAGCUGGGUCUUGCAACCAGAGUGGGUAAUGUGAAGAUGGAGAUGGUCAGCGUGUGUGCCUCCUCCUCCUCCUCCCGAAGCUUCAGGAUCUCCAGCACCUGAGUUGGGAAGUGGGGGCAGACAUAGUUAAAACACCCCCCACCCCUGCUACCUGCCAUCUGCCCACUCCCACAGAACACCCGACCUCCAGCUCCGACUCCCAGGCCUGAUGUCUGGACAACUUCUCCUCGUUCUUCAGCUUCAUCAUGGCCUCGUACUGGUAGAGAAGCUUCUUGGUGUGCUCCAUCGGCUCCACCUGGAACAAUGGCCACAGUGACUCAGAGAAGCAGCAGCAACGGCUGGGGUUGUGGGCAGAUUCUGGAGCCAGAUCUCUUGGGUUCAAAUCUUUCCCUGCCAUUUUCUAGCUGUGUGACCUCCAGCCAGUUGCUUCACCUCUCUGGAUCUGUUGCAUCUCUAAAAGCACAACUAGCAACAGAAGAGAAACUGGAGACUCAGAGGGGCCAAGGAAUGUGCCAGCAAAGUCAGGAUUGGAACUAGGAAAGCCAGCCCUGUGGAGGUGCUGAGAUCUGUCACAGCCUUGGUCGCAGGAUGGAAAAGGAGACGAUUUUCAGAGGAGCUCAAAGAGUAUUAUUCCCAGAUGGGAGGUCUUGAUUUUCCCAGGGGCGAAGAUGAAUUUCCAGGCUGGGUGCCAGGGCCUUCCACCCCAGGGCUCUCUCUUCACUCCACCCCAUCCUGCCCCUGCCCACCAGACUCCCAAGCCCACCUCGAAGCUGAUACACAUGUCGGGGGUCAUGAUGAUCUUGUUGCCCUUGCUGUCCACCUCCGUGCGCCGCAGGAACUCGCGCUUGUUGGCCGUGAUGUGGUCGGAGCGGCAGUGGUAGCGCAGCUGAAUGCGCUCCUCGGGGAUCAGAAACACUCGCUCGGCCACGUCCUCGUCCGCAGGCUUCGCAGGGUUGCGGAAGAAUCUCUCUGUGAUUUUCUGGGACACCAGAACAUGCGGAGGAGGCAGGGUGGAAAAGGGGGACUUCUGUGCUUGCCCUGAGGACAGGCGCAAAGGACCCUCAGGGACGCUGGUGUCUGGAGUUAUUUGGGGGGUGGGGGGUUAUGUAGAACAGCCCCUCCCAGCUUGACAGUGGCUCUCAAGGCCCCAGGGUUCUCAGUGCCCAGCGCUCCAGCCCUGUGUGGUGCGCCAUUUCUUCUCUAGCUCCUUCUGCCAGACUCUGCUUGCCCACCUCCAGAGAUGGGGAGCUCACCACCUCUCCAGGCAGCCUGCUCUAUCACUUGACAAUGCUUACUGCUAAAAAGAGCUUCUUUGGUGUGCAGAGGUUAAAUAUAGGUGCAAAAUAACUUGUGAUGAUAUGGAGGAAAAAGCUGCACAAUUUAAGUGAAGAGAGUGAUACAGGAAUUCUGCACACAUGCACACACACACAUCUUUGAAAAGACUCUCAAAAUCCAAUCUAUUAAUAUGUGAUAAUAGCUGAGAGAUGAAAUUCUGAGAUGUUUUUUACUUUUUAUAAUUUUACAUAUUUUCUAAGUGUUUAGUCAAGAGUGCGUAUACACACACAAAGACAAUACCUCGGUGGCCCAGUGGCUGACGUCCGGCAUCAGACAGACCCAAGAUGGUGUGUUUGGUAAAACAGGAAAGGUCACUCAGUAAAGAAGACUCCCUGGAGUCGGGGCUCCUCCCCUUCAGGGUAACCUUGGCCCACCAGAGUAGGCAGGCACCCCAUCCCCAAGUCCAGCAAGUACUUACCACCAUGGGCCGGGGGUUUGACUCUGCGCUGUUCAAAGCCAGCUUCUUCAUCCGGGGCCCGAAAUUGACAUGGCGGUAGGAGAGGAAGUCCGGCCGACCUUGGUAGUGCUCUGUCAUCGUCUUGGGUGUCUCCUCCCGCUUGAUCAGGCCGUCCACGCGGGCCGUUUCAUAAAACUCCAUGACACGGUCCAUCUCAGGUUGCAUGGACUUGUACGAGUGCACUGCGGGGGAGGUGGGGGCCGGGCGACGCCUAGGUGAGCACCCGGGGCCCCUAGCUUCAUAACCCGACCCCAGGCCUUGGGGAGAAGCCUCAUCUGUGAUGUCACCAAUGCCCUAGCGCUAGGUGUUUAGGCUGCUUCCAGCUUUUUUUGUUAUUAUAAUCAACACCGUGAUGAACAUCUGUUUGAUGUAUGUUUUCUUCUUGCCUGCUAUUUGUGCAACAGAACUGCUGGUCAAAAAACGUACAUAAUUGAAAGCUAUCAUUGAUUAUUUUGCCCAACCGCUCCCCAGAAAAGUUGUGCCAAUUUGCCGUCCUACCAGGAAUGAAGGGGAGUCUCUUGCUUACACGUGGUAGGGCCAUUUUUAAAUUUUUGCCAACUGAAGGGUUGUAGGUUGGUCCCUUAUUGAUUUUCUUUCUUUCUUUCCCCUUCCCUUCCCUACCCUGCCCUCCCCUUCCUGUCUCAACCAAGUGAGAUUGGUCCUGUUUUUAGAUGUAUAUUGAGCCUAUGUUUUUCUUUUGUGAAUUCUUGGAUUGGGUUGUUAAUUCUCUCCCAGGAUAUGUCCUUCCCUGCUUCCCAGUCUACUGGGCUUGCCGCCACAUCCGCACUGCCACACUUCUGCCCCCUGCAUUGCCCUUGUGGGGGUGCUUGUUGGUUUUCUUGUAGGCAUCCUAACCCCUGUAAACGUGGCCCGAAUGGGUACCUGAUCCCAACCACAGCAUGGGCUGCAACCCUGCUUUACCUUUCCUGGAGGAACACUUGUCACAUUUCCUUAGAUUUUCUGUGC